GUGAUAACACUCUCUGAAGGCUGGUUGUCUUGUUGGAAGGAGACACAAGGCUUGCAAUGUAAUUGGUAAAAGGCUGCGGCUCAUCCAAUGUCAAGAGAAUGGAACCUCCUUUCUUCUGAGGAUGGAUGAGGAUUUGGGAAGAACACUGAACUGACAGUGGACUCUGUGCUCUACAAGACACAAAAGAAGAAUAUAGUCCCUGAUAUGAUGAGCUUGUGAUCAGAAUAUGCUGUGGAAUU
Molecule: long non-coding RNA, 239 nt
Organism: Trachemys scripta elegans
Lineage: Eukaryota; Metazoa; Chordata; Testudines; Emydidae
Exons: 3
Source: RefSeq, a predicted model, not a curated record